GACGAACGCUGGCGGCGUGCUUAACACAUGCCAGUCGAACGGUGAAGCGCCUUCCUUUUUGGUGGGUGUGGAUGAGUGGCGAACGGGUGAGUAUCACGUGAGUAACCUGCCCCCUUCUUCUGGAUAACCGCAUGAAAGUGUGGCUAAUACGGGAUAUUCUGGGUCUGUCGCAUGAUGGGUCUGGGAAAGAUAUUGUUUCGGUGGGGGAUGGGCUCGCGGCCUAUCAGCUUGUUGGUGGGGUGAUGGCCUACCAAGGCGGUGACGGGUAGCCGGCCUGAGAGGGUGGACGGUCACACUGGGACUGAGACACGGCCCAGACUCCUACGGGAGGCAGCAGUGGGGAAUAUUGCACAAUGGGCGCAAGCCUGAUGCAGCGACGCCGCGUGAGGGAUGGAGGCCUUCGGGUUGUGAACCUCUUUCGCCAGUGAAGCAGGCCUGCCUCGUUUGUGGGUGGGUUGACGGUAGCUGGAUAAGAAGCGCCGGCUAACUACGUG
RNAcentral lists this ribosomal RNA (494 nucleotides) under uncultured bacterium. RNAcentral describes it as "partial 16S ribosomal RNA". It matches the Rfam family "Bacterial small subunit ribosomal RNA", at positions 28 to 507 of the family's 1533-position model. The record is from RNAcentral.